UGGGGAAUAUUGCACAAUGGGCGCAAGCCUGAUGCAGCCAUGCCGCGUGUGUGAAGAAGGCCUUCGGGUUGUAAAGCACUUUCAGCGAGGAGGAAGGGUUCAGUGUUAAUAGCACUGUUCAUUGACGUUACUCGCAGAAGAAGCACCGGCUAACUCCGUGCCAGCAGCCGCGGUAAUACGGAGGGUGCAAGCGUUAAUCGGAAUUACUGGGCGUAAAGCGCACGCAGGCGGUUUGUUAAGUCAGAUGUGAAAUCCCCGCGCUUAACGUGGAACUGCAUUUGAAACUGGCAAGCUAGAGUCUUGUAGAGGGGGGUAGAAUUCCAGGUGUAGCGGUGAAAUGCGUAGAGAUCUGGAGGAAUACCGGUGCGAAGGCGGCCCCCUGGACAAAGACUGACGCUCAGGUGC
Molecule: ribosomal RNA, 405 nt
Filed under: uncultured bacterium
Lineage: Bacteria
Description: partial 16S ribosomal RNA
Rfam family: Bacterial small subunit ribosomal RNA
Source: RNAcentral